Echinops telfairi (small Madagascar hedgehog) is the source of this 121-nucleotide non-coding RNA. Lineage: Eukaryota; Metazoa; Chordata; Mammalia; Afrosoricida; Tenrecidae. The record is from Rfam.
CCUGCCCCGUGAGCAGGGGACAGCCCUCCAAAGGAGGGUUCUGUUGAAUGUAUGCGACAAAGAAAAACAACUCCCUGAGCUGCCUGUUUGAUAGCCCUUCAGCACAGCUAAAUGAUGUCUU